This 347-nucleotide ribosomal RNA is filed under the name Diastylis echinata. Its description in RNAcentral is "partial small subunit ribosomal RNA". Lineage: Eukaryota; Metazoa; Arthropoda; Malacostraca; Cumacea; Diastylidae. The record is from RNAcentral.
AUCCUUAAAUCUAAAGGGUUUGGCGGUUCUCAAAUCAAAUAGGAGGAACUUGUUAUUUAAUCGAUGAUCCGCGUUAAAUCUUAUUUUAAUACUUAUUUUGUUUGUAUACCGUCAUCUAAAAAACAUUUUUUGAUGUUUUUAAAUAAACUAAUUAAAUUAAUUAUGUUAGAUCAAGGUGCAGCUUAUAUUAAAGUAUAAUAAUGAGUUACAAUUUUUAUAAAAUAAUUAUUUGAAUAGAUUUAACUUAAAAUAGUUUCUUGAAAGCGGAUUCUAAAGUAAUAUUAUAUUAGCACAUAUUUAUGACUUUUGUUCUUGAUAAUGUACAUAUCGCCCGUCGCUCGSGGGAA